Homo sapiens (human) is the source of this 435-nucleotide long non-coding RNA. Ensembl annotates it as long intergenic non-protein coding RNA 3063. Lineage: Eukaryota; Metazoa; Chordata; Mammalia; Primates; Hominidae. The record is from Ensembl.
GAGCUCUUGUCUUUGGAAAUAUUGGGCAGGGAGAAAGGGUGCUUUUAGAACCGAGCUGUUCAGGGUCCCAGAUCCUCUAAUGUAAUGCCAGCUGAACCCAGACAGUGACUUCCACCUCCAUGAAUGCAGGUGAUUGCAUCCUUUGAAAGCCUGUUUGCAUAGCAGACAAUGAAGCUGAGCAGAGAAAAACAAGAUGAGAGACAGAUGGAGUAGGAGACCUGAGAAGAUGGCUUGAGUCCAUGAAUUCUGGUGUUCCCUAGGCCACAUUUGCCCCCAUCCUUCCCAGGUUAGACUUCUCCUAUGGAGAAUGCAGCAAGAAAAUACCAUCUUGAAGCAGAGAGCAGCGCUCAUCAGGCAUCAGUCCUUCUGGAGCCUUGAUCUUGGACCUCCCAGCUCCAAAAUAAUAAGUAAUAAAUUGUUAUUGCUUAUAAAUUA